CGCCGCGUGAGGGAUGAAGGCCUUCGGGUUGUAAACCUCUGUCAGAGAGGACGAAUUGUCUGCCUGUCGGCAGACAGGGACGGUACUCUCAGAGGAAGCCACGGCUAACUCCGUGCCAGCAGCCGCGGUAAUACGGAGGUGGCGAGCGUUAUCCGGAUUCAUUGGGCGUAAAGGGCGCGUAGGUGUCUCCAUAAGUCGGAUGUGAAAUCCUUCUGCUCAACAGAAGAAUGGCAUUCGAAACUGUGGAGAUUGAGUACAGAAGAGGAGAGUGGAAUUCCUGGUGUAGCGGUGAAAUGCGUAGAUAUCAGGAGGAACACCGGUGGCGAAGGCGACUCUCUGGUCUGAUACUGACACUGAGGCGCGAAAGCUAGGGGAGCAAACAGGAUUAGAUACCCUGGUAGUCCUAGCCAUAAACGAUGCUCACUAGGUGUGGGAGGUAUCGAUUCCUUCCGUGCCGCAGCUAACGCAUUAAGUGAGCCGCCUGGGGAGUACGACCGCAAGGUUGAAACUCAAAGGAAUUGACGGGGGCCCGCACAAGCGGUGGAGCAUGUGGUUCAAUUCGACGCUACACGAGGAACCUUACCGGGAUUUGACAUGUACU
RNAcentral lists this ribosomal RNA (601 nucleotides) under uncultured bacterium. Its description in RNAcentral is "bacterial SSU rRNA". It matches the Rfam family "Bacterial small subunit ribosomal RNA", at positions 395 to 992 of the family's 1533-position model. The record is from RNAcentral.